GGGAAAAACGGGAGGAAGGUGGGGAUGACGUCAAAUCAUCAUGCCCCUUAUGUCUAGAGCUACACACGUGCUACAAUGGACGGAACAGAGAGACGCAAGACCGUGAGGAGGAGCAAAUCUCAAAAACCGAUCCCAGUUCGGAUUGCAGGCUGAAACUCGCCUGCAUGAAGCCGGAGUUGCUAGUAAUCGCAAAUCAGAAUGUUGCGGUGAAUACGUUCCCGGGCCUUGUACACACCGCCCGUCACACCAUGAGAGUUGGCAACACCCGAAGUCCGUGAGGUAACCGUAAGGAGCCAGCGGCCGAAGGUGGGGUUAAUGAUUGGGGUGAAGUCGUAACAAGGUAGCCGUAGGAGAACCUGCGGCUGGAUCACCUCCUUUCUAAGGAG
RNAcentral lists this ribosomal RNA (386 nucleotides) under Clostridium tetani. RNAcentral's name for it is "bacterial SSU rRNA". It matches the Rfam family "Bacterial small subunit ribosomal RNA", at positions 1155 to 1533 of the family's 1533-position model. Lineage: Bacteria; Bacillati; Bacillota; Clostridia; Eubacteriales; Clostridiaceae. The record is from RNAcentral.